UACGGGGGGGGCAAGCGUUGUUCGGAAUUACUGGGCGUAAAGGGCUCGUAGGCGGCCAACUAAGUCACACGUGAAAUCCCUCGGCUCAACCGGGGAACUGCGUGUGAGACUGGAUGGCUUGAGUUUGGGAGAGGAAUGCGGAAUUCCAGGUGUAGCGGUGAAAUGCGUAGAUAUCUGGAGGAACACCGGUGGCGAAGGCGGCAUCCUGGACCGACACUGACGCUGAGGAGCGAAAGCCAGGGGAGCAAACGGG
Molecule: ribosomal RNA, 253 nt
Filed under: uncultured bacterium
Lineage: Bacteria
Description: partial 16S ribosomal RNA
Rfam family: Bacterial small subunit ribosomal RNA
Source: RNAcentral